AUUUGGUUUGAGCUGGGUCAGUUUUCUUUUUGCAGGGUGGUGGUGAUAUUUUGAAGUGCUACUCUCCUCUGGGAAGGUUACAAGGGAUUCCUGAGUUUGCCAAAGCAGAAAGAAGAAACAAGCCUACAGGAAGCCCUAACUGAACUGUGUAAAUAGGACAACCUAAGUAUCACAUACUCGGAAAAAUCACAAGUAGGUGAACAGUGAAUCAUAUGAUUGAGCUUGAUUCUUCCUGGACUGUACUGCAGCAAUAGGAUUUUCCUGUUAAAACAUAUUUAACCAUCAAGUGAUACAGGAGCCAAGUGGAAAUGUACCUCAGACUACUUAGUUGAUGUUUACAUGUCCAAGGUCACAGAAAAUUGCAUGAUCUAGGAGGAAGCGAAAACAAGCAAUUAAGAAGGUGGUAUCAGACUGCAGAGGUAUCCAACUGUGGGACAGAGGUGACCUCUGGGAUGAAUCUUCUGAAGGAUCAGGGUUUGGCGAUGCCUAUUCACAUCUUUGAGGACUGUGGACACCAGACACAUAAGUGGAUUAGGAAAUUCCACCUUUGACACAGAGGAAUCUCAUUGCUGGACCUUGUAGCUGUUGUCUUUGCCAUCUACAUGAGAUGCUACAAGCUGCCAGCUACCAAAAGAUGGCCAUCAAUUGUCAUUUCUAUUAAUAUGUGAUUUGUGCAGACAGGAGUGGUUAUAAUGAUUCAAUCAAUCAAUUCAAUCUAAUCAGCAUGAUAAUGG
This 734-nucleotide long non-coding RNA is filed under the name Cyanistes caeruleus (blue tit). RNAcentral's name for it is "lncRNA (ENSCCEG00000018989.1)". The record is from RNAcentral. Lineage: Eukaryota; Metazoa; Chordata; Aves; Passeriformes; Paridae.